GCCCAGAUGGGAUUAGCUUGUUGGUGAGGUAACGGCUCACCAAGGCGACGAUCCCUAGCUGGUCUGAGAGGAUGACCAGCCACACUGGAACUGAGACACGGUCCAGACUCCUACGGGAGGCAGCAGUGGGGAAUAUUGCACAAUGGGCGCAAGCCUGAUGCAGCCAUGCCGCGUGUAUGAAGAAGGCCUUCGGGUUGUAAAGUACUUUCAGCGGGGAGGAAGGUGUUGUGGUUAAUAACCGCAGCAAUUGACGUUACCCGCAGAAGAAGCACCGGCUAACUCCGUGCCAGCAGCCGCGGUAAUACGGAGGGUGCAAGCGUUAAUCGGAAUUACUGGGCGUAAAGCGCACGCAGGCGGUCUGUCAAGUCGGAUGUGAAAUCCCCGGGCUCAACCUGGGAACUGCAUUCGAAACUGGCAGGCUUGAGUCUUGUAGAGGGGGGUAGAAUUCCAGGUGUAGCGGUGAAAUGCGUAGAGAUCUGGAGGAAUACCGGUGGCGAAGGCGGCCCCCUGGACAAAGACUGACGCUCAGGU
This 531-nucleotide ribosomal RNA is filed under the name Salmonella enterica. Its description in RNAcentral is "bacterial SSU rRNA". It matches the Rfam family "Bacterial small subunit ribosomal RNA", at positions 229 to 752 of the family's 1533-position model. The record is from RNAcentral. Lineage: Bacteria; Pseudomonadati; Pseudomonadota; Gammaproteobacteria; Enterobacterales; Enterobacteriaceae.